CGAGCCGGGCGGACGGCCGCGUGGAGUCCCCCUAGGGGGCUUCCCGAGGAACGUCCGGGCUCCACAGGGCAGGGUGGUGGCCAACAGCCACCCGGGGUGACCCGCGGGACAGUGCCACAGAGAACAGACCGCCCGGCGCUUCGGCGCCGGGUAAGGGUGAAACGGUGGUGUAAGAGACCACCAGCGCCUGAGGUGACUCAGGCGGCUAGGUAAACCCCACCCGGAGCAAGGUCAAAAGGAAGCACCCCCGGUGCUUCUGCGCGGACGACCGAGGGCUGCCCGCCCGAGUCCGCGGGUGGACCGCACGAGGCCGGUGGCAACACCGGUCCUAGAUGGAUGGCCGUCGCCGGCGGGACCGCGAGGACCCGCCGGAACAGAACCCGGCGUACAGCCCGACUCGUCUG
RNAcentral lists this RNase P RNA (404 nucleotides) under Streptomyces sp. CD653. RNAcentral describes it as "RNase P RNA component class A". It matches the Rfam family "Bacterial RNase P class A". From Rfam's summary of the family: Ribonuclease P (RNase P) is a ubiquitous endoribonuclease, found in archaea, bacteria and eukarya as well as chloroplasts and mitochondria. Its best characterised activity is the generation of mature 5'-ends of tRNAs by cleaving the 5'-leader elements of precursor-tRNAs. Lineage: Bacteria; Bacillati; Actinomycetota; Actinomycetes; Kitasatosporales; Streptomycetaceae. RNAcentral also lists the same sequence under 1 other name. The record is from RNAcentral.